CCGGAGCUUGCUCCACCGGAAAAAGAGGAGUGGCGAACGGGUGAGUAACACGUGGGUAACCUGCCCAUCAGAAGGGGAUAACACUUGGAAACAGGUGCUAAUACCGUAUAACAAUCAAAACCGCAUGGUUUUGAUUUGAAAGGCGCUUUCGGGUGUCGCUGAUGGAUGGACCCGCGGUGCAUUAGCUAGUUGGUGAGGUAACGGCUCACCAAGGCCACGAUGCAUAGCCGACCUGAGAGGGUGAUCGGCCACAUUGGGACUGAGACACGGCCCAAACUCCUACGGGAGGCAGCAGUAGGGAAUCUUCGGCAAUGGACGAAAGUCUGACCGAGCAACGCCGCGUGAGUGAAGAAGGUUUUCGGAUCGUAAAACUCUGUUGUUAGAGAAGAACAAGGAUGAGAGUAACUGUUCAUCCCUUGACGGUAUCUAACCAGAAAGCCACGGCUAACUACGUGCCAGCAGCCGCGGUAAUACGUAGGUGGCAAGCGUUGUCCGGAUUUAUUGGGCGUAAAGCGAGCGCAGGCGGUUUCUUAAGUCUGAUGUGAAAGCCCCCGGCUCAACCGGGGAGGGUCAUUGGAAACUGGGAGACUUGAGUGCAGAAGAGGAGAGUGGAAUUCCAUGUGUAGCGGUGAAAUGCGUAGAUAUAUGGAGGAACACCAGUGGCGAAGGCGGCUCUCUGGUCUGUAACUGACGCUGAGGCUCGAAAGCGUGGGGAGCAAACAGGAUUAGAUACCCUGGUAGUCCACGCCGUAAACGAUGAGUGCUAAGUGUUGGAGGGUUUCCGCCCUUCA
This 791-nucleotide ribosomal RNA is filed under the name Enterococcus sp. FBPers-11_02-19. RNAcentral's name for it is "bacterial SSU rRNA". It matches the Rfam family "Bacterial small subunit ribosomal RNA", at positions 73 to 842 of the family's 1533-position model. Lineage: Bacteria; Bacillati; Bacillota; Bacilli; Lactobacillales; Enterococcaceae. The record is from RNAcentral.